GACGAACGCUGGCGGCGUGCCUAACACAUGCAAGUCGAACGGGGUGAAGCCCCUUCGGGACUUCACUUAGUGGCGAACGGGUGAGUAAACGCGUGAGGAACCUGCCUUUCAGUGGGGGACAACAGUUGGAAACGACUGCUAAUACCGCAUAACACUUUUUGGGGACAUCCCUGAAAAGUCAAAGCUUUAUGUGCUGAAAGAUGGCCUCGCGUCUGAUUAGCUAGUUGGCGGGGUAACGGCCCACCAAGGCGACGAUCAGUAGCCGGUCUGAGAGGAUGAAACGGCCACAUUGGGACCUGAGAUACGGCCCAGACUCCUACGGGA
RNAcentral lists this ribosomal RNA (324 nucleotides) under uncultured bacterium. RNAcentral describes it as "bacterial SSU rRNA". It matches the Rfam family "Bacterial small subunit ribosomal RNA", at positions 28 to 346 of the family's 1533-position model. The record is from RNAcentral.